Non-coding RNA from Labrus bergylta (ballan wrasse), 330 nucleotides. Lineage: Eukaryota; Metazoa; Chordata; Actinopteri; Labriformes; Labridae. The record is from RefSeq and is a predicted model, not a curated record.
AGCAUGUGGAUUUCGAUUAUAGGCGCACAUCCUCAAGAUGCCAGCUAGACGCAAUUCUGCAGUAAUCCUGAGAGAGACCAACAAACCAGGGAAAAAUAAUAUCCAACAAGAAUGAGAAAACCAAUCAAGAAAAGAUUCCUGUUUAUGUGCCAAACAUCACAGAGCCGACAAGCAGGGCUGAGCUUGUCAAGUAUUGGAUGAAUUUGUUUUUUGAUAACAAGACUGCCAACAAGAUGUUGUGGAUCGGCGAAAGUGCUUCUAAGGUGUGUCGUAGGACUGAGGAGGUUUGUUCCGUCCUGGAUAGACCGGAGAGAUACGAGUACUCUCCAC